GCGAGACACAGUCGGGCUGGUCGCGGGUGAUCCUGUUCGUCGGAGACCCCGCGACGACACCAAAGGACGAACUACGCGCGUAGAGGCCCAGGACGGAGCAUCUCGGGACGCGGGUUCGAUUCCCGCCGCCUCCACCA
RNAcentral lists this transfer-messenger RNA (137 nucleotides) under Planctomycetota bacterium. Its description in RNAcentral is "Planctomycetes bacterium (bioreactor metagenome) partial transfer-messenger RNA". It matches the Rfam family "transfer-messenger RNA", at positions 232 to 374 of the family's 374-position model. From Rfam's summary of the family: Bacterial tmRNA, also known as 10Sa RNA or SsrA, is named for its dual tRNA and mRNA-like properties. Lineage: Bacteria; Pseudomonadati; Planctomycetota. The record is from RNAcentral.